RNAcentral lists this transfer RNA (75 nucleotides) under Mus musculus (house mouse). It matches the Rfam family "tRNA". Rfam says of the family: Transfer RNA (tRNA) molecules are approximately 80 nucleotides in length. The record is from Rfam by way of RNAcentral. Lineage: Eukaryota; Metazoa; Chordata; Mammalia; Rodentia; Muridae.
GGUAAGGUGGCUCAGUGGUUAAGAGCACUGAAAGCUUCCUCUUCCAGAGGUCCUGAGUUCAAAUCCCAGCAACCA